GGGGGAAGGUGGAGAUGGGUGACAUUACCUCCAGAAGAAGCAAAGGAGUGACGUCUGUAUGCAUGGAGAGGCCCAUACAAUGUCUAAGUAGUGCCUCCAGAGGGCGCCAGACAUCUGACGGGACAGCAUAUGGACGAUGGGUGAGGGUACUAAGUUCUAAGAGGUCAAUUAAAGGCCAAUGCUGAGCCCUUCAAUCAAAAAGAAAGAAUUCCAUCUCCUCUCCUGGCUUCACGGCAACUACUGAAAACCGCGUCCCCUGGGGGACAUGAAGAAAUCAUCUAAUAGCUGUGUGUUUUAUUUCGUUAUUUUUUUAAAAUAGCAAUAUCAUUUUUAAUAGCUAUGUUUUAUAAUCUUGUUAUGUUCUCGUUACAUUAGAUUAUUGCUUAUUAUUUUUUUCCUGGUUGGGAAUCACAGUUUUGACUGCCUUAACUCAUGGCAACAAAACCCCAGGGCAAGUCUCUCUGAAACACA
Molecule: long non-coding RNA, 471 nt
Filed under: Suricata suricatta (meerkat)
Lineage: Eukaryota; Metazoa; Chordata; Mammalia; Carnivora; Herpestidae
Description: lncRNA (ENSSSUG00005005955.1)
Source: RNAcentral